RNAcentral lists this ribosomal RNA (253 nucleotides) under uncultured bacterium. RNAcentral's name for it is "partial small subunit ribosomal RNA". It matches the Rfam family "Bacterial small subunit ribosomal RNA", at positions 26 to 281 of the family's 1533-position model. The record is from RNAcentral.
AGGAUGAACGCUAGCGGGAGGCCUAACACAUGCAAGCCGAGCGGUAUUCUGGAUUUAUUCAGGAGAGAGCGGCGUACGGGUGCGUAACACGUGUGCAACCUACCUUUAUCUGGGGGAUAGCCUUUCGAAAGGAAGAUUAAUAUCCCAUAAUAUAUUAAAUGGCAUCAUUUAAUAUUGAAAGCUCCGGCGGAUAGAGAUGGGCACGCGCAAGAUUAGAUAGUUGGUGAGGUAACGGCUCACCAAGUCAAUGAUC